Zophobas morio is the source of this 250-nucleotide long non-coding RNA. RefSeq lists it as uncharacterized. The record is from RefSeq and is a predicted model, not a curated record. The transcript is spliced from 3 exons. NCBI's taxonomy places the organism in Eukaryota, Metazoa, Arthropoda, Insecta, Coleoptera, Tenebrionidae.
GGUGCAAACCUUGUAAAGCUGGCGAAAAAAAGGAAAACCGUUUAAAAAAUCGUUACUUUAAUGUCCUCCCUUAUGAUCAUACGCGUGUGAAACUAAAGGAUGCUAAAAACGACUAUAUUAAUGCUAAUUUUAUUACGCUAAAAGACGUGAAUGGUCGUUAUAUAGCUGCUUCGGCGCCUCCGGCUUGCGCUAUCGGCGAUUUUUGGCAAAUGGCUUUUGAAAAAAAAGUUACUUCUAUUAUUAUGCUCAC